Molecule: long non-coding RNA, 1659 nt
Filed under: Mus musculus (house mouse)
Lineage: Eukaryota; Metazoa; Chordata; Mammalia; Rodentia; Muridae
Description: RIKEN cDNA 2610307P16 gene
Source: RNAcentral
GCCUCUUUGUCUGCUCUGGGACUUGGAACAAAAGGGGAAACUCUGAUGAACUCCUUCUCCAGCUCCCUGGACGCCCGAGUAUCUCUUUCUCGCAACUUUGUCAACGCGACUUUCUCCGCUGUCAGGCUGCGCAAAAGUAUCCUAGCGCCUCGCAGGCUGCAACAAUGGAAACAAUGUCCCUUCAAAGUGCGACGAAGUGGAGGGAGAAGGUGUCAUACCAGCGACUCCAAGAGUCAUGUCACCCACUUAGCAGGAGUACUUCUACUGAAAUGCCUUCGAAUUUCUCUUACUGGAUAUAUACCUACCAGCCGCUAGCAUGAAGAUGCCAGGACCGCUGCAAGUUAGCACUGGACAAAGUAGCAUCAACUUCUUCAUUUAGAGUUUCUUCAGUUAAAUUGCUGGGAUUUUCGACAAGGCUUUCCUUAUGUGGAUUAUUGGAGUGUGAUGCCCGAGAAUUCUCUACUUGUAGAAGCACGCCCACGGGACUGCAGAAGCCUUCACACCCACCCAGCACGCUCAGAUCAUCCAGUAACCAACCCAGGAAGUUCUUGUAAGCAUGCAUUUCUUAGUCAACACUGAAUGCCUUUAGACCGAGGUCAACCUUUUCAGCUGGUACCGUGGUUUACACUGCUGAAAGUACUGUCUUCAACCUUACCAAUGUCAGUGGCGGCGACGGUGGCGUCACCAUCACCAUCAGAGAAAAAGAAAUAUGCCUUUAUGUCAUGAUGGGAAUGAGUGAUGGCCAUCCAGUGACCAGCUGGAUCUGACUGCCUUACAAGACGCAUGUGUAUGAUUAAGAGAGAGACAUUCGUGACUCCCAGAUGUACCUCCUUCCUGUCCCACAGUGUUCCUGAAGGGAGUGAGUUAUGGGGUAACUUAUAACACAGCAGGCUCUUCCUCAAGAUAGCUCUUGUCAAAACAGGAAGACGAAACUCGGGUUUCCAUGAGGAGACCACAGCUUGGGAUCCUGUCUGGAUGUACAAGCAGAAGCAUCUUCAUACUUUUCCAUUUCUAACCAUCAUGCCUCACCCCACCCUCCCAAGGCGACAUCUGCAGAGAGGUGGAACCAUCUAGGGAGGCCUGCCACUGUUUGCUGAGCUCCGGGUGAGGAUGAAGACACUUUGACAUGGCCAGCUUCAGACUCGGGAUCUGUCGGUGUUAGCAGCCGAAGUUUUCAGGAUGUGUUCCUGAGUCUCGUGAGUAGCACAUGGCAGUUGUUGUCACCUUGGGCUGAGCCGUGAAGAUUCUCACCCUCCCUUGUUGGGGAUGAACUCCGGGAUUCUAAGGAGAGGUCAGCAGGUGUUUCACAGACUGUUCCUGUUGGAGGAUUUGUCUGAUACUCUUCUCCUGAUUAGUCUGGGCUCUACAUUUCCCCAAGGGUGAAACUUGGAAGCCCUCUCCAGGAUGCAGCAGGUAGCUGAGGAGAAAACGAAGACUGACCAGCCCAGAGCUCAGAGCUUCCUCCCAUGCUCAGGAUUUACCACCAAUGCCAUUACAUCGGCCUCUUCUUGUAUGCCUCUGGAAACCACAUGUGUCCUCUGUUUGUAAUGGUUUGGCUAUGGUUGCUGGCCCCUCUUGGACAUUGUUUUCAGAACUUAAAGAAACAUUGCUUUAAAGAUUUAUUAGAACAUAUUUAAAAUAAAACCAUCUUCUCAUUUA